UACGAAGGGGGCUAGCGUUGCUUGGAAUCACUGGGCGUAAAGCGCACGUAGGCGGAUUGUUAAGUCAGGGGUGAAAUCCUGGAGCUCAACUCCAGAACUGCCUUUGAUACUGGCGAUCUUGAGUCCGGGAGAGGUGAGUGGAACUGCGAGUGUAGAGGUGAAAUUCGUAGAUAUUCGCAAGAACACCAGUGGCGAAGGCGGCUCACUGGCCCGGUACUGACGCUGAGGUGCGAAAGCGUGGGGAGCAAACAGG
RNAcentral lists this ribosomal RNA (253 nucleotides) under uncultured bacterium. RNAcentral's name for it is "partial 16S ribosomal RNA". It matches the Rfam family "Bacterial small subunit ribosomal RNA", at positions 524 to 776 of the family's 1533-position model. The record is from RNAcentral.